This 396-nucleotide ribosomal RNA is filed under the name uncultured bacterium. Its description in RNAcentral is "bacterial SSU rRNA". It matches the Rfam family "Bacterial small subunit ribosomal RNA", at positions 29 to 409 of the family's 1533-position model. The record is from RNAcentral.
AACGAACGCUGGCGGCGUGCCUAACACAUGCAAGUCGUGCGAGAAAGUUCCUUCGGGAGCGAGUAAAGCGGCGCACGGGUGAGUAACACGUAGGUAACCUGCCCCCCAGUCUGGAACAACUAGAGGAAACUCUAGCUAAUGCCGGAUGAGACCACGAUCCCUUCGGGGGUUGCGGCCAAAGAUGGCCUCUACUUGUAAGCUAUCGCUGAGGGAUGGGCCUGCGGGCCAUUAGCUUGUUGGUGAGGUAACGGCUCACCAAGGCUGUGAUGGCUAGCUGGUCUGAGAGGAUGACCAGCCACACUGGGACUGAGACACGGCCCAGACUCCUACGGGAGGCAGCAGUGGGAAUAUUGCGCAAUGGGCGAAAGCCUGACGCAGCGACGCCGCGUGGGUGAU